UCCAGCAGCCAUAUCACCUUGUGACUCACAACUGGCAAUCCACUGAAGCUAAGCAGGUGUGAGCCUGGCCAGUACCUCGAUGGGAGACCUCCUGGGAAAAACUAAGGUUGCUGCUGGAA
RNAcentral lists this ribosomal RNA (119 nucleotides) under Lepisosteus oculatus (spotted gar). The record is from RNAcentral. Lineage: Eukaryota; Metazoa; Chordata; Actinopteri; Semionotiformes; Lepisosteidae.